CGCGUAGGCGGUUUGUUUAGUUAGGCGUGAAAUUCCUGGGCUCAACCUGGGGGCUGCGCUUAAUACAGGCAGACUGGAGUGUGAGAGAGGGUUGUGGAAUUCCCAGUGUAGAGGUGAAAUUCGUAGAUAUUGGGAAGAACACCGGUGGCGAAGGCGGCAACCUGGCUCAUUACUGACGCUGAGGCGCGAAAGCGUGGGGAGCAAACA
This 207-nucleotide ribosomal RNA is filed under the name uncultured bacterium. RNAcentral's name for it is "partial 16S ribosomal RNA". It matches the Rfam family "Bacterial small subunit ribosomal RNA", at positions 568 to 774 of the family's 1533-position model. The record is from RNAcentral.